ACAAAAGGAGGCAGGGGCAAAAUGUCCAGAAAACAUCAAGUAAACGGUCAAACCCCUUUGACCUAACGGAAACGGAACAAAAGGGCAAUUCUGUAAGGGGAACUAACGGCGGAGGGGCAUUUUUGAGCAGGCUUUGGAAUUAGGGGUAUAUCUGAGUAGGUGGUUCGAGUUAGGGACAGAAAUGCAAAUGGCCCUAUUAUCUAUGGAUUCAUUCGAUUUACCGAUUAUGUGUAUGUUUAAGCACUUUUCAGUUUGCAUUUGGCCAUCCAUCUUUUUACUCGUAUCAUAGUAUCUUGGUACAAUUUGCAUUCUUUUCACACAGAAAAGGGUACAAUUUGCAUUUGAUCAGUCGGUUUUUCACCUCAUAGUUUUUCUUGUACACUUCGGCUUCUGAGCCUGAAUGUGCCAUCCGACUCUUCAUAUUCGAAACUACUUCAUUGAUGAUGGUUGUGCCCGACCUUUGUAUGAUAGGUAAAUCGAGUGGCUGAUGCCCUUUUUAAACAUAUGCAUGUUUCGCUAGAUUUAAGCAUCGUCUGAGAAUCGUGCGAUUUCUGUCGUGUGUAUAACACCACUCCUUCAUUUUUUUGAGCGAAACGGCUACCUAGACAACAGUGCUGCCCGAUCUAUGCAUGACGUGCUAAUCCAGCCGCUGGUGCCCUUCUCAAUCAUGUGCAUGUCGAACCUCAACAAAAUAAAUCAUGUGCAUGUCCGGCUGGAUUUAAGUUCGUGUGUAUAGCACGACUGUUUUUUUUAGGGAAAGCACGGCUGUUUUUUGAGUUGUGCUCUUCAUCCGGAAGAUAAUUACCACUCCGGAUUUUUUUCUCUCCAUCUAAAACAGCCCGUACCGGUUCCCGUACUGGCCUUGUGGCCUCGCUCCUCUCUCCCUCCUCUCGUCGAUCCCUAUCCACUCCAAAGAAAAGGAAAAUAACCCCAUCGGCACCUGGUUCUUCAUCCACACGCAUCAUUUCGCCAGAUUUGCUAUCGGCGAAGGUAGAUAUCGCUCGUGGGCGGUGGCCAUCAUUGAGAGUCUACCCCCCUCUAAAAUUGCUCUUCCUGGGGUUGGUGGCGCAGGUGGCCGGGUGAGUGCGUGAACGCGCUUGAUGCGGUCUUCAGGGUGCAGAUGCUCGCCCACCUCGGCGAGUCCGGCGGCGAGGCCAUCAAGAGGUCCGGCGGCUAGCGACGGUGGUGGAUGUGCUGGAGGUUGGUGGCGUUGAGGGGGCAGUAAGGAAGCUCACGGAGAAGGGUGUGGAUUUCCUAGAUGAGUUCAUGCAAUGGAUAAUGGUCGGAUCUGAGGAGCGGGGUAGAGACUUGCACUGCGGCUAUGCUUCAUGAGAGCUAUGGGGUUAUGUAGACAAAUGUGAGAUCGUGCCAUAAGCAAAUGACAUCAAGAUCUGAGCACCGUUGCAGACGGCCUCGAGUUAUUUUCCUCUUCAUCUCCUACAAAAUGUUGCUUGCAUGGUCAAUUUGGGCAUCGGUUUGUUAAGCAGCAAAAGCUCGCAUGUUGAAUCUACUCAACUCAAGUAUGUUUCCACCAGAAAACUCAAUCGUGUAGUGUAUUGAAUGACAUGUUUAUUUAGUUUCUACUAAUUAGUUUGGAUAACCUCUGAUCAUCCGAUGAAGUAACUGAGAAGAAAUUUUGGUCAUGUUAUUACUUCCCAUUUUUUAUACCUAUGCAAUUAAUGUUAUUUGUUGCUGGUUUUGCUGUGGCGCCAAGUCUAAAUGAGGGAACCUUGUUUUUAUUCAAAGCAAGAUCCAUGUGUUGACAUAGGAUGGAUUUUGUACAAAAUGCCUAUAAUAUCGAGCUUUUCUAAUAUUCUCUUAACUGAAAAAGGCUGUUGGAUAGAGAGCUAUUAUGAAGAGCAGAAAACUCAUAUAUCAAGUAAUUACAACAUGACAUGCUUCUGGUAGUGCUAACUUCAGCCGUUCAGCGCCUUGUUAUGUAAUACGUGUCGUUAUAUUGGUAGAUGUCAAGUGCUCUUCUCUAUCUCAGUUAUGGUCUGCCUUAGUUUCAGUCUAAGCUAUAUUAAUCAACUAAUUUUGUGGGUAACCUCCUUGUUCGUCUAGGUUUUUUUGGCUACUGUAUCUUCGAACUGACCACUUCUCUUGUAGCAUUUUUCAUCAACACUUCCGGUCUUGUGGCCAUAAACCUCUUUGGUCAUUUUAUGCGAUCUCCUUAUGACUGCAGUAUCAGUACAUCUUAUUUUGCCACAACUGGCAACUGAGUCUUCAUCUUCAAGCAUUGCAGUUUUUACUUCCGCUUCAACAUGUUUCUUGUUCCCAGCAUACAUCUCUCCUUUCUUGUACACUUAUCUUGGUGUAUUCAUCCUCUGAGCCAUCCGAUAAUAUGAUAGAUCUCUAUCAUUUUCUUUUGUCAUUGCAGAGUCCAUGUGAUGUUUAUGUUUUUUUUCUUCACACCCAUCAUCAUGUACUAUAACCCCAUUAGUAUCGUGUGGUUCUUCUUACAUAGAAACAAAUUGUCAUAUCCUUUUCUGAGGUGAAUCUCUAUUGUUAUUUGUCUGCAAAAUAAAAAUACAUUUCAAAGAUUACACGUGUCUCUAAAGUUUGAGAAGUAGUACUCUGAGAAAAUUAAUCACCCUUUAGCCUCUAUGUUAUGCUUCUUUGUUGCUUUUUUGAACACGGCGUCCACUUCAUCAUGCAAAAUUCUGAGAAUCAUAUGUGAGAUGUAUUAGUUAGGAAAAUACAAACACAAUACUUCUUUUGUAAUGGAUAAAGGCAAAUUUUCCUCCUCGGCUUUAUCUUUCAGGUCCACCAUCUCAAGCCUAUCAUCACACACAAAUGUUCUUUUUACUGCAUAGUUUUUUGUUCUGAAAGUGAGAUUGCCAUCGCUGAACAUGAGCUGAAAAUAAGUGUUUGUCAACAUUAUUAUUAUGUAAUCUUUGGCGCUUCUUCAUAUUUCUCAUCCAGUGAAUUUAGCAAGUCCGAGACAAAUGUAUUGAACAAUUUUUCGGCCUCACCGUCAAAUAAAGUGCAACUUGUAGUAGUCGUACAGUCAUUAAUUUAUUGUCAAAUACGAUAACUAUCAUACGAUUGUUAUUAGUGUAGAGUAAAUGUAAUAGGAAAGAAGUCUUCUUCAAAUAUAUGCUUACCGAGGUGAUACAUCAUCUCGAUAUGUAUCACAACUCUCGUAACAGUACUUGUCAACUUCCUUCUUAUCUAGUUUGUGAAAAUCAUCACAUCGCAUAUACCAGCUUUGAAUAUGAUCACUUGUAGCUAUUACUGUGAACACAAAAUCCUAAAAUGAUUUCCCAAAAAUUUAGCAUACCGGAGAAAGUGAGAGACAUAAUUAAGUAGAUAUGCACUAUAACUGAUAUUUACUAAGUUGUCAUUGCAGGUAUUGAGAGUCUGGUUUUCCUCAAAAAGUGGCGAUUUCAUAUCUUAGAAGAAGUCUCGCAUUAGUUCAAAUUUGAACUAAAACCAUCACACUUAUUUUGGAUCGAGGAGUAUGAAUUUGGUAUUGAUUCUUGUGUUGAGUUCCUGCACAUUUGGAGCAAAUGGAGUAUAAUAAUUAUCUUAGAUUGGUGAAUAAAGAUGAGUCAAGAUAAAUUAGCUGAGAAAUAAUAAAAGUUGGUCUUUCAUACCUGUCAACAAUUUCCCAAGUUUAUGGUAUAUCUAGAUCUGUAUAGAUUCUUAUGACACUUGACUUUAAGCAUAGUCAUGUUUAAUCAAAGUAAAUUCUGUUAGACAUAUUUUUAUAA
Triticum aestivum (bread wheat) is the source of this 3716-nucleotide long non-coding RNA. RefSeq lists it as uncharacterized. NCBI's taxonomy places the organism in Eukaryota, Viridiplantae, Streptophyta, Magnoliopsida, Poales, Poaceae. The record is from RefSeq and is a predicted model, not a curated record. The transcript is spliced from 2 exons.